RNAcentral lists this ribosomal RNA (405 nucleotides) under uncultured bacterium. RNAcentral's name for it is "bacterial SSU rRNA". It matches the Rfam family "Bacterial small subunit ribosomal RNA", at positions 976 to 1380 of the family's 1533-position model. The record is from RNAcentral.
AGCCCUUGACAUGCCCAGGACGGUUACCAGAGAUGGUUUCCUCUCUUCGGAGCCUGGGACACAGGUGCUGCAUGGCUGUCGUCAGCUCGUGUCGUGAGAUGUUGGGUUAAGUCCCGCAACGAGCGCAACCCCCGUCCUUAGUUGCUACCAUUCAGUUGAGCACUCUAAGGAGACUGCCGGUGAUAAGCCGCGAGGAAGGUGGGGAUGACGUCAAGUCCUCAUGGCCCUUACGGGCUGGGCUACACACGUGCUACAAUGGCGGUGACAAUGGGAUGCAAAGGCGCAAGCCCCAGCAAAUCUCAAAAAGCCGUCUCAGUUCGGAUUGUGCUCUGCAACUCGAGCACAUGAAGUCGGAAUCGCUAGUAAUCGCAGAUCAGCACGCUGCGGUGAAUACGUUCCCGGGCC